This 225-nucleotide long non-coding RNA is filed under the name Brassica napus (rape). Its description in RNAcentral is "long non-coding RNA (BNAP_LNC011823)". The record is from RNAcentral. Lineage: Eukaryota; Viridiplantae; Streptophyta; Magnoliopsida; Brassicales; Brassicaceae.
UUUCCCUUCCUGCCCUUAACCCGUCUUAAGUGAAAAAUAGAGAUUUUCCAUUUUUUCCGAUCUUCAUGUUUAUCCGCGGAAACUUAACAUUUUUUCUGUGGAAACAUAUCUUUAUUUUUGUUUUUAUAAAAUAAAAACAUAAACCGUCAUAGCAUCUAUGGGCUCGUUCUUAAAGAAUCGUAAGUGGGCUUGUAGUCGCGCUUUAAACCAUGUUGGGCCGUCUUU